AGUCUCUGCGUCUGAGAUGAUCCACGUGAGUUUUCUGCUGCUGGAAAGGUGAAACAUUGACCCCGAGUAGUAAAACGGUCUGCUGCUCAGGACUGAACUGUGAUUGCCAUUAAGGGUCAUUGUGGUUCUCAGGAAACCCCCUGAUCUGCUGUUGUCAGGCCGAGCGGAGUGUUUCCUCGCUGUGAUCCAGGGAGCUGUUGAGCUUCACUUGAGCUCAAUGCUUCAAAACAUAAAUGUUAGAGCUGCUUCCUUAAUGUGCUGUGCAGUGGAAGUCUCUCGCUCGCGGCCUGCGUGACCCACAGCUCCUGAACCUCAGCUGCCACUGAGAGCUUUAACCCACAUUCUUACAGACCGGACACGCCAUAUUUUUACUGAAUGCAGUGGGAAUAUUUCAACUACUGUGCUGAUAAUGUUACGCAAUCUGCCUGAAACACAGCACCGUUGAUCCAUUAUUUGACAGUAAAUUUGGGCCUGGACUUGAGUGGCCUCGCAUGCCUCUUCAGCCAAUUGUCUUGAAGUUUCUGGACACUACGCUCAUGUUAGGUAUGGCUUAUACCCACAUAACAGGCUCAAUUCAUCACUCUAG
Cyprinus carpio (common carp) is the source of this 586-nucleotide long non-coding RNA. RefSeq lists it as uncharacterized. Lineage: Eukaryota; Metazoa; Chordata; Actinopteri; Cypriniformes; Cyprinidae. The transcript has 4 exons. The record is from RefSeq and is a predicted model, not a curated record.